Long non-coding RNA from Oreochromis niloticus (Nile tilapia), 812 nucleotides. RefSeq lists it as uncharacterized. The transcript is spliced from 3 exons. Lineage: Eukaryota; Metazoa; Chordata; Actinopteri; Cichliformes; Cichlidae. The record is from RefSeq and is a predicted model, not a curated record.
CACACACACAGCCUUUAUCUUAAACGGUGAACCAUAAUAGGUCUAAUUAUCACAUGUUUAGUCAUUAACACAAACAUUAAUUAUGUUUUCCUUUGAGGCUCAAUCAGCGAAGAAGACGCAUUACCGUAAACCUCUGUGUAGAAGCGCAAGAAUAUCCUCCCGCAGCUUCCGUCACGUGACCACAUGUCCCGGUGAGUCACGUGUGUGGAAGCUCAAACGCAGCAGUGUGUAGCUGUAGUGUCUCCGCGAUUUAUGAACAUAUAUAAAAAGGAUUGGAUACCUGCAAAAUGCUCGUGUCAGUGUUCGUGUUGGAGUUUAACCUGUGACGUCGAGGAGCUCGUUACCAUGGAGCCUGCUGACAGGAGAAGGGGUUUCCCUCCACGGCAGCACUGAGCUCAUCUCUCCCAAAGAGAUGCGUUGACAAGUCAUUUGCUGUCCCCAUGUCUCAGGACGCAACAACGUCGGUGCAGCACUGGAUCUUCAGCCGUCUGUCUGAAGGCUUGAAACUCCUCCCACGCUGAUCACAGACAUCAGCAGGAGAGAGGACGAGCCCCCAGUCUGAGGACGUUCCUCCACAUGAAUGGGGGACAGGAGGCGCAGCUUCCAGCCCAGCUGGUAGGAAAGUCCUCCUCAGCUUCUCUGUAACUAUGGACUCUACCUGUUGUCAUGCGUGCAGAUGUUUCAGUCCACAGUGAUGUCAGUCAGUGCUUUUUAAAGAUGUGCAGGGUGUAAAAUCUCCUGUUUGAUUGUUAAAUGUUCAUUCACUUUGUUUGUGCUCCAAAUAAAUUCACUUCCUAGAUGAAACAGUUCAA